CCUACGGGUCGCACCAGUAGGGAAUCUUCGGCAAUGGACGAAAGUCUGACCGAGCAACGCCGCGUGAGUGAAGAAGGUUUUCGGACCGUAAAACUCUGUUGUUAGAGAAGAACAAGUAAGAGAGUAACUGCUCUUACCUUGACGGUAUCUAACCAGAAAGCCACGACUAACUACGUGCCAGCAGCCGCGGUAAUACGUAGGUGGCAAGCGUUGUCCGGAUUUAUUGGGCGUAAAGCGAGCGCAGGCGGUCUUUUAAGUCUGAUGUGAAAGCCCUCGGCUCAACCGAGGAAGGUCAUUGGAAACUGGAGGACUUGAGUGCAGAAGAGGAGAGUGGGAUCCCAUGUGUAGCGGUGAAAUGCGUAGAUAUAUGGAGGAACACCAGUGGCGAAGGCGGCCCCCUGGACAAAGACUGACGCUCAGGUGCGAAAGCGUGGGGAGCAAACAGGAUUAGAUACCCGGGUAGUC
RNAcentral lists this ribosomal RNA (465 nucleotides) under uncultured bacterium. Its description in RNAcentral is "bacterial SSU rRNA". It matches the Rfam family "Bacterial small subunit ribosomal RNA", at positions 338 to 795 of the family's 1533-position model. The record is from RNAcentral.